AACGAACGCUGGCGGCAUGCCUAACACAUGCAAGUCGAACGAAGCCUUCGGGCUUAGUGGCGCACGGGUGCGUAACGCGUGGGAAUCUGCCCUUGGGUUCGGAAUAACAGUUAGAAAUGACUGCUAAUACCGGAUGAUGUCUUCGGACCAAAGAUUUAUCGCCCAAGGAUGAGCCCGCGUAGGAUUAGGUAGUUGGUGGGGUAAUGGCCCACCAAGCCGACGAGCCUUAGCUGGUCUGAGAGGAUGAUAAGCCACACUGUCACUGUGACACGGCCCAGAAUCCUACGGGAGGAAGCAGUGGGGAAUAUUGGACAAUGGGCGAAAGCCUGAUCCAGCAAUGCCGCGUGAGUGAUGAAGACCUUAGGGUUGUAAAGCUCUUUUACCAGGGAAGAUAAUGACAGUACCUGAAGAAUAAGCUCCGGCUAACUCCGUGCCAGCCGCCGCGGUAA
RNAcentral lists this ribosomal RNA (449 nucleotides) under uncultured bacterium. RNAcentral describes it as "partial 16S ribosomal RNA". It matches the Rfam family "Bacterial small subunit ribosomal RNA", at positions 29 to 523 of the family's 1533-position model. The record is from RNAcentral.